GUAAGGAUUUCCGAGAAUGAUUUGAAGUCAUUUUUUUCGCAUUUGUUUGUGAUGCUCGCU
RNAcentral lists this transfer RNA (60 nucleotides) under Artyfechinostomum sufrartyfex. RNAcentral describes it as "tRNA-Ser". Lineage: Eukaryota; Metazoa; Platyhelminthes; Trematoda; Plagiorchiida; Echinostomatidae. The record is from RNAcentral.